Molecule: long non-coding RNA, 4461 nt
Filed under: Bemisia tabaci
Lineage: Eukaryota; Metazoa; Arthropoda; Insecta; Hemiptera; Aleyrodidae
Description: lncRNA ENSASIAIIG010746
Source: RNAcentral
AACGGCAAAAAUCCCAUUAUUUUUUAUGCAAGUCCAAAAUUGCCUAUCUUAAAUUAUCUAAAAAAGACUCUCAUGUGUGAGUAAGGUAGGUAGUUUGCAUCAGUCGCUUCUGCUUCUUUUUUCUUUUUUUCUUUCUUUUUUUUUUGUUAAUUGCUAUAAAUUUUAAUACGAGGAGCCCCUUCAUUUAGUGAGCAAGCACCACACUCAACUGACUCAACACUCCGAUACAAUAGGUGUACCAAUAAUUUUAGCAUUCAACCCGUGAUAUUUUGGCAUUUCAAAUGCGGCGCGAGUCUUCUUUUUUUUUUCAGACGCUGCCAAAAUAAUGUACCCCAGAAGGAUGUGAUGUGUCUUGGGUAGUUAUCUACCCAGGGGCAGAAUUUAAUUGCGCGAAAUGAAAGCGUGUAUGAACAAUUGCAGCAGAUUGCGGCGUCACAAAAUGGAGGGUGGAUAGGCAACCCGCAAUGUUAUUAAGCCACAGCUGAUAAGCUGAUAAUGCCCGUUGACUGCUGAGCUCCGUUGAUACUGCGCUCCGUGAACUUUGUUUGGAAAAUAUGGCGUCGAGCGAAAAAAUGUCAAGUUUGUGUGUCGAAAAUGUUAAUGUAAAUAAGGAUUUAAUCACGAAGCCAAGCACAAAAAUUUCUGUAACUUUCCCACCAUUACAGGAAUUUCUUGUCAUCGGUCGUUAACACGAUGUGCGUUUGAGACAGUAGUUGUUUAUUAUGAGCCAUUUCGAGUGGUCGGAUGAAAGUUCUAGUACAAUGGUUCAUCGCUUUCAUUCAGCAUAAUGAAUUUUUGGUUUACGAGUCUUGAAGUCACUCUCAAAGAUAACAGAAAGAAAUAUGCGGACAAAGUUCAAGCUCUCCUAUGGGCUUGGGAGCAAGUUACCAACUGCAUGAAUAAAGAUUUCUCUCUGGCGGUUUUUGAAUUUAUGCAUGGGCAAACUUUGUACCUUGUCCUGCGCGGAGACUGGCCGCGACUCGCUCCAGUCAUUCAGACUCAUCUUCUCGUCCUCCUUCAGAAGUGUCUGAAAUACUUGAAGGCCAAACAUGCCGACUCUAGUUCUAUAUCUCGUUGUAGCUCUCUCAUGAACCUUGUGUCUGAUCCUUGGGGUCAUGAUACUCUGUCCAAAUUAAUUCAUGGAGAAGAAACCACAGACAAGGAAGUAAUGGAAUACUGCCAGGCAGAGAAAGGAGAUCUCAUCAUGAUCAGGCUAGAACUUCUGAUCGUUUCCAAGUGUGAAGACAUGGCACUUAAUUUAGCUGGAGCUGCUGUGAGGUGGAUGCGGGUCCCCAAUUCAGGCUGUGAAACAAAUUCAACAAAUGAUCAAAGGAACUUUUUUCUCGACGUAUACCUAACAACUUUGUGUCGCUUCAAAAAAAAUCAAGAAAUUAUUUUAGAGUUAAAAAGCUUAGAUCUGGAACAAGGUUUGGAACUGAUUCGAAGGUAUGCCUCACCCAGUUGGCCAAGUAGCUAUAAUAGCUCUCUCUCAAGCAGCACCAGCUCGGCAAGGAUUUGGCGGCACGGUAACCGAGUAGCCGAAAUUGCGGUUAAUACAUUCCUGGCUUCCGCCAUGGUUCAACCCCCUAGUCUUCAUCUUGCCGACUUAGUUUUAGAAUGGGCUAUCAUUCAUGGCCCGAUGAUGAAAUCUUCUCCUCAAACUUUUUUUGAUAUGAUCAAAAAGUUUCUCAUGACUGCGCUCUCGGAGGAACAUGUCUACAUCUUCUCUGAAGUUCUCGUAAAGCAGUUUGGAGACAUCGUGAAGCCAAUUUGUAUUGAGUUCUGUAUCCGCUUUCUAAGUGCUGAAAUGAAUGAUCUGCUUCAGCUGAAGGUGAAACCAGAUGAAGAGAAACAGAGAGAGAUAGAAAUCAAGCUGUCCUCUGGGUUCUUGAAACUAGCAAAUUUGGUCGGGAGCAGCUACACAGACAUCUACCGCGAGUGUGUUCUAACUGGUUUCUCGUUAAAUCCAACGAGCAAUACUUUGGAUAUCAUCAAGUCUCUUGGUGGAAAGAACGAAAUACCUCCAUUAGAUAAGACUGAACAAAUUGUCGCUGAGAGUGAAUGCAAUCUCGAUAUACCAAGUAAACCAGACCAAACGGAUGACAACAUAGAACCAGAAAAAGACGGGACAAAUCGAAUGGAUAUGGAAUUAGUAGGUAAAUCAAAAGACAUUGGUAUUGCUGAUGAGAUCAGUGAAACCACUCAAGUCAGUCAGUUAGAUAUUCACAAUGAGCAUGAAUCCAGUCAUGUAGAUUCAAACGCAAACGACCCUAGUAAUAGGCUUUCGCCUGAAGGUACGAACACAUCAAAUUUUGAAAAGGAAGGCAAUGCUCUGGGCUUAACAAGGCAUCUAAUGGACGAUUUAUCAAUUGUUAUCAGAGGAUCUCGAUACCAAGCAUUGAAUUGGGACAAUGAAUGGACAGAGCUUAAAUGCCUGUGUGAGGAUUAUUUGAUAGAUUUUAGGAAAUUUCGUGAAACCAACAAAGAGUUAAAGUACUUAAAGAUUGAUUAUGACCAAUUCAAAGAUUGGCCUGUGGAUAAAGAAAAAGACAAGCACAACGGCAUUGAAAAAGGCUAUGAAAAGUGGAUCGAAGGGACUGACGACUCAGAUGAGUCCUUAUCGGAAAGUGCAUCUUGCUCUCAAAGUAUAGAUGACUCGGAUUUUGAAUCGUGCGAUUCAUUCAUCCUUAAAAAGGGGUUAAAAAGGAAGGAGGUGAGUAAACGGAGGUCGGACUCAGACUCGGAGUUUGAAAUAGGGAAAUACAGAAGUAAGAAAAAAAGAAAAAAAUGCAAGAAGAAAGUGAAAAUAAUUUCUGACUCUGAUAAUGGCACUCUAGACAGUGUAAAGAGCAUUUGCAGUGCCUCAAGGAAAAAUGCUUCAAAGAAGAAGAAAACCAAAAAUGCUAAGGAUAAUCGAAAGGAAACUUCACGUCCCAGAAAAGUAGGGAGGCCUCCAAAGAGAAUCCCAUCUCCAGCUGAUGAUUCCAUAAGCAAUGAAUUUAAGUUUAGUGACAAUGAAAAUGACAACAAUAACUCCAGGUUUAAGAAAAUUCAUGUUUCCGAAUCUUUUGACGAAAAUGAGAGCUUUCAUUCCAACUUACUCAAGAAUGAAAGCAAAAAACCUGUGUCUAGAACUCAUGUUUUGAAAACGCUAAGAACUUUUAGGAAAACGAAACCAGAUCUCAGGCAUUCAUCAAAAUUAGGCUUCAGGUAUUUCAGCGAUGUACCAGAAGAAGAAUACUCACUUUUGCAAGACAGUCCUACAAGAACUUUCGCACCUAACUCUAUAGCUAGUACAAUAAAUUUUAACAAUCCUAGUCUUUCAAGUAAGAUGGAAUUAAGUGACGGGUAUGAUGAUGACGAGCUCUCUGAUAAUUGUAAGUACACGUUCACCGAAGACGAGCCAUUAAACAGCAGCACCAAGCUAGAGCCUUUUACGAAAAUAGAUAAGAAUAGCAAAAUUAAAUUGGAUGGUUUUGAUUUCCCAAGGAGAAAUAAAAGUUCAAUUGAGAAUACUGUCUCAGAACUCAGCUCCAUUUCUAACUUAGUUCCCUCGGAGGUCAGAGCAACAGUGCAGGUCGUGCAGGUUACGAAUCAUACUUCCGGCACAGCAAAUCCUACAUUGCUCUCCCGUCAGCAAUCAUCUUCCGAUAAACCUCCACAGACAUCUUCCACCUCAGCUCAAAACUCAGCUGCUCAAUCGAAUACAUACGCUAGCCCAGUCAUCUCUCAAACUAGCACGAUUAGUGCCACCAAAAUUCAUGACCCAUCGACAUCAAACACAGAGUCGCAACCAACCCUCCAAUUAUUCAACUCUAUUCCGAAUAACAUAAGCGCAUUGAUCGAGUGCUCAGAAACGCAGAAUACAUCAGAAACAAUCACUUUGCAGCGAGCAGAGCCUGUUACCAUGUCGCCAAUCUUGAGAGUCCCUGUGCAAACACCAAAUGCCCUUAUUAUUCAAAGCCAGGCGGUUGAUCAUUCAAACAAACCAGCAACAAGCUCCAACACGGCCAGUGUUGUUAAACCGGCAAGAAGCAGUGCAUUUGUCUUCGUGGCCAGCAGUGACUCUACCAGCUCAAUAGCUCGAACGAGCGCCGUUUCCCAGCAACAAGUUCAACAGACCCUUAUAAGUUUAGCGAAUUCCUCUUUUGUCGGAACGAACAAUGACAAUAAUACAGCAACGUUAUUCAAAGCAGAUGACGGGAGGAAAAACGAAAAUGUUGUUCAGCUGACUGUUUCCAGAGACUCGCGACUUCUGUGGGCGCAGCAAAUAGGUAAUAUUAAAAGGAGUGAAUCCGCAGGUCAGACAGUCAACGUUGUUAUCAGUCAGUCAGGCAACUUCGCCAAUCCUAGAGUGGUGGAAACUAAAGAUGCCAAUCUUGAAGCACAAAAAGCCAGCUCAAGUCAGCCAGCAGUCUUAAGACUGGAGUCAGCUCCGAAUAUCAUUAAAACAAGAUCUCC